CCGCAAUGGACGAAAGUCUGACGGAGCAACGCCGCGUGAGUGAUGACGGCCUUCGGGUUGUAAAGCUCUGUUAAUCGGGACGAAAGGCCUUCUUGCGAAUAGUGAGAAGGAUUGACGGUACCGGAAUAGAAAGCCACGGCUAACUACGUGCCAGCAGCCGCGGUAAUACGUAGGUGGCAAGCGUUGUCCGGAGUUAUUGGGCGUAAAGCGCGCGCAGGCGGAUAGGUCAGUCUGUCUUAAAAGUUCGGGGCUUAACCCCGUGAUGGGAUGGAAACUGCCAAUCUAGAGUAUCGGAGAGGAAAGUGGAAUUCCUAGUGUAGCGGUGAAAUGCGUAGAUAUUAGGAAGAACACCAGCGGCGAAGGCGACUUUCUGGACGAAAACUGACGCUGAGGCGCGAAAGCCAGGGGAGCGAACGGGAUUAGAUACCCCGGUAGUCCUGGCCGUAAACGAUGGGUACUAGGUGUAGGAGGUAUCGACCCCUUCUGUGCCGGAGUUGACGCAAUAAGUACCCGCCUGGGGAGUACGACCGCAAGGUUGAAACUCAAAGGAAUUGACGGGGGCCCGCACAAGCGGUGGAGUAUGUGGUUUAAUUCGACGCAACGCGA
RNAcentral lists this ribosomal RNA (606 nucleotides) under Veillonella dispar. Its description in RNAcentral is "bacterial SSU rRNA". It matches the Rfam family "Bacterial small subunit ribosomal RNA", at positions 366 to 964 of the family's 1533-position model. Lineage: Bacteria; Bacillati; Bacillota; Negativicutes; Veillonellales; Veillonellaceae. The record is from RNAcentral.